UAAGGAAUAUUGCUCAAUGGGAGAAAUCCUGAAGCAGCAACGCCGCGUGGAGGAUGAAGGGUCUAUGACUUGUAAACUCCUGUAAAGAAGGAAAAAAUUCCCAUUAGAUGGGAGAUGAUGGUACUUCUGGAGUAAGCCCCGGCUAACUACGUGCCAGCAGCCGCGGUAAUACGUAGGGGGCAAGCGUUGUCCGGACUUACUGGGUGUAAAGGGUGCUCAGGCGGAUUUGUAAGUCAGAGGUGAAAUCUUACAGCUUAACUGUGAAACUGCCUUUGAUACUAUUUGUCUUGAAUAUUGCGGAGGUAAGCGGAAUAUGUCAUGUAGCGGUGAAAUGCUUAGAUAUGACAUAAACACCAAUUGCGAAGGCAGCUUACUACACAAUCAUUGACACUGAGGCACGAAAGCGUGGGUAGCGAACA
Molecule: ribosomal RNA, 419 nt
Filed under: uncultured bacterium
Lineage: Bacteria
Description: bacterial SSU rRNA
Rfam family: Bacterial small subunit ribosomal RNA
Source: RNAcentral